Peromyscus eremicus (cactus mouse) is the source of this 452-nucleotide long non-coding RNA. RefSeq lists it as uncharacterized. The transcript is spliced from 2 exons. The record is from RefSeq and is a predicted model, not a curated record. Lineage: Eukaryota; Metazoa; Chordata; Mammalia; Rodentia; Cricetidae.
GCACAUUGAACACAGGCUUUAUUCCCAGUUACUAAUGUGUUCUAAGCUACUGGACACAGUGCUGCUUUGGAGUCACUACUCAGAUUUGAGAUAAGCAUGAGCAAAUAGAUAAUGAAGGAUAAAGUUGAAGAAAUAGGUCACCAGAAGGAACUGAAUUCAGAGAAGGAGAUCAUGUUUUAUAUCCAAAUACUCAACUUAGUUUCUCAUGGAGAAUGAUGGCCUGGGCAUUUCUGGACACAGUAUAAGGCAAGAAAUUUGUGGAUUUGACCUGAUUAUUGGAGCUUCACACAACGGAGAGCAGGGAUACUGACCACACUACUGGCUUAGAGAUUUGGAAGCAGGACCUGAUGCUCACUCUGCAUUUCUUCCUCUGGCUCCUGAACAUCCCCCUCCUCAUGUCCAACCUCACUCACCCCAAGUGCUUUUGGAGAAUGAAGCAGAAUGAAGACAAG